RNAcentral lists this long non-coding RNA (1359 nucleotides) under Oncorhynchus kisutch (coho salmon). RNAcentral describes it as "lncRNA (ENSOKIG00005041457.1)". The record is from RNAcentral. Lineage: Eukaryota; Metazoa; Chordata; Actinopteri; Salmoniformes; Salmonidae.
AUGUGGAGGCUAUAUACAGGGGGUACCGGUACAGAGUCAAUGUGGAGGCUGUAUACAGGGGGUACCAGUACAGAGUCAAUGUGGAGGCUAUAUACAGGGGGCACCGGUACAGAGUCAAUGUGGAGGCUAUAUACAGGGGGUACCGGUACAGAGUCAAUGUGGAGGCUGUAUACAGGGGGUACCAGUACAGAGUCAAUGUGGAGGCUAUAUACAGGGGGCACCGGUACAGAGUCAAUGUGGAGGCUAUAUACAGGGGGUACCAGUACAGAGUCAAUGUGGAGGCUAAAUACAGGGGGUACAUGUACAGAGUCAUUGUGGAGGCUAUAUACAUGGGGUACCGGUACAGAGUCAUUGUGGAGGCUAUAUACAGGGGGUACCGGUACAGAGUCAAUGUGGAGGCUGUAUACAGGGGGUACCGGUACAGAGUCAAUGUGGAGGCUAUAUACAGGGGGUACCGGUAGCGAGUCAAUGUGGAGGCUAUAUACAGGGGGUACCGGUACAGAGUCAUUGUGGAGGCUAUAUACAGGGGGUACCGGUACAGAGUCAAUGUGGAGGCUGUAUACAGGGGGUACCGGUACAGAGUCAAUGUGGAGGCUAUAUACAGGGGGUACCGGUACAGAGUCAAUGUGGAAGCUAUAUACAGGGGGUACCGGUACAGAGUCAAUGUGGAGGCUAUAUACAGGGGGUACCGGUACAGAGUCAAUGUGGAGGCUAUAUUCAGGGGGUACCGGUACAGAGUCAUUGUGGAGGCUAUAUACAUGGGGUACCGGUACAGAGUCAUUGUGGAGGCUAUAUACAGGGGGUACCGGUACAGAGUCAAUGUGGAGGCUGUAUACAGGGGGUACCGGUACAGAGUCAAUGUGGAGGCUAUAUACAGGGGGUACCGGUAGCGAGUCAAUGUGGAGGCUAUAUACAGGGGGUACCGGUACAGAGUCAUUGUGGAGGCUAUAUACAGGGGGUACCGGUACAGAGUCAAUGUGGAGGCUGUAUACAGGGGGUACCGGUACAGAGUCAAUGUGGAGGCUAUAUUCAGGGGGUACCGGUACAGAGUCAAUGUGGAGGCUAUAUACAGGGGGUACCGGUAGCGAGUCAAUGUGGAGGCUAUAUACAGGGGGUACCGGUACAGAGUCAAUGUGGAGGCUAUAUUCAGGGGGUACCGGUACAGAGUCAAUGUGGAGGCUAUAUACAGGGGGUACCGGUAGCGAGUCAAUGUGGAGACUAUAUACAGGGGGUACCGGUACAGAGUCAAUGUGGAGACUAUAUACAGGGGUACCGGUAGAGAUAGUUAUGUCGCCAUGUAGCCAUUUGACUAGAUGUUCAGGAGUCUUAUGGCUUGGGACCAUGUUAGUUUGUUGGUGA